GCCUGCUCAGAUUAAAGCAAGAGGCUGAAUACCUAGGAUUGUGCAAGGGAGCUCCCAGGAUCGGAUGGAGCUGGCUUUGAUAUCACAUCUGUGGACAUAGAGGAUUGGGAACACCAUCAGAAUCCAGAACAGUGCAGACUUUUGACUUGGGAAACCUUCCCAGAGGACAGCAACUAGCUGGAGGUGCUGAAUGCUGGUUUGUGUGUGUAGGGGGAGGUGGUGGUGGUGUGAGGGUCUGGCAUUUGACUCCAAUUAAGGUGAAAUCUGGAGAGAACAGGAAGCAGAGCAAAAAGUGGAUGUGAUGAAGGAGUCAGGGUGUCUCCCAGCUGCUCCAUCUGCUGUGGGGAGAGAUGGAUGGACAGAAGUGCUGCUGUUUGCGACAACCUGCCUCCAAAAUGUGAAUAAGAAAAUCCUGCAAGAGAACCUGGUUCAGUCGUGCUUGUGCUGUUAAGAUCUAUUUCAUUCAGAGCAGACAAACGUUCACCAGGGUUGCUCCAUUGGAAGAGAAGUAGAUUACCUGGAGCAGAAGAGCUAAAACCCCUCUCGAUGAAGUUAGAUUGGUUUGGGGUGCGUUCCCCACUCUGUAUACAAAUCGUCCUAACCAUGGGCACUGUGUAACCACAGCGUAUGACUGGCUAAAGUGUCGGGUUGCCUCCUUUUUAUUUCUUAUAUAAGUUUGAACAAUGAUCACAGUCAAUUCGGAUGGAAAAAUAAUGAUCAGAAGAUGUCUUGUCACCUUGAGACCUUUUAGGAUAUUUGUGUUGGGCAUUGGAUUUUUCACUCUGUGCUUCUUAAUGACAUCAUUGGGAGGCCAGUUUUCAGCCAAAAGACUGGGAGACUCUCCCUUCACCAUCAGAACCGAAGUGAUGGGCGCGCUGGAGUCCAGAGGGGUGCUGCGGAAGAUGAGCGACAUGCUGGAGAUGAUGGUGAAGAGGAUGGACGUACUAGCCAGGCUGGAGAAUAGCACUGACUUCCGGAGAGGGGAGGAGGCACGUUUUCCUCCGGACAGGUUCCAGCCAGCAGCAGGUUUGAUGGAGAGGAUCCAAGCUAUUGCUCAGAAUGUCUCUGACAUUGCAGUGAAAGUAGAUCAGAUUCUCCGGAACAGCCUCAUGAAUGGGAAAGUGAUAGAAGGCAGACGGGACCAAUGCGAGGUGCCCAGGGACCCCAAAUACCCUGACUGCUCUGGAAAAGUGGAGUGGAUGAGGGCCAGGUGGACGUCUGACCCCUGCUAUGCAUUUUUCGGCGUGGACGGCACAGAAUGCUCGUUCCUCAUCUACCUCAGCGAAGUUGAGUGGUUUUGUCCUCCGCUGCCUUGGAGAAAUCAGACAGCAGCCAUGCCAUCCUCAAAGCCACCACCCAGAGUGCAGGCAGCUUUUCGGAGCAACCUGUCUUACCUCCUUGAGCUGAUCGGGAGUGGCAAGGAAUCCUUGAUCUUCAUGAAGAAGAGAGUCCGGCACUUGGCCUCACAGUGGCUUCUGGCAACCCGAAGCCUGGCGCAGAAACUGAAGGGCAGACGGCGGGAUCAAAAACAGAUCUUGAUUCACAUCGGCUUCCUGACGGAGGAGUCAGGGGAUGUUUUCAGCCCCAGGGUGCUGAAGGGGGGACCUCUGGGCGAGAUGGUCCAAUGGGCAGAUAUCUUAGCUGCCCUCUUCAUUCUGGGACACAGCCUGAAAGUCACAGUUUCUUUGAAAGAGCUGCAGAGUAAUUUAGGGGUGCCUCCAGGACGGGGCAAUUGUCCCUUGACUGUCCCUUUGCCCUUUGACCUCAUUUACACUGAUUACCAUGGCCUCCAGCAAAUGAAGCAACACAUGGGGCUCUCCUUUAAGAAAUACAGGUGUCGCGUUCGGGUCAUUGAUACCUUUGGGACAGAGCCAGCCUACAACCUUGAGGAGUAUGCCACUCUGCACGGCUACCGGACAAACUGGGGGUACUGGAACCUGAAUCCCAAGCAGUUCAUGACCAUGUUUCCUCACACUCCCGACAACUCCUUCAUGGGCUUUGUGUCUGAGGAGCUCAACGAGACUGAGCGGCAAUUCAUUAAGUCCAACAAAGCAAGCAACAUGGCAGUGGUGUACGGGAAGGAAGCCAGCAUCUGGAAGAGCAAAGAAAAGUUCCUGGCCAUCCUUAACAAGUACAUGGAGAUCCACGGCACUGUUUAUUAUGAAACCCAGCGUCCUCCAGAGGUCCCAGCUUUUGUCAAGAACCAUGGCCUUCUGCCACAGCACGAGUUCCAGCAGCUUCUGAGAAAAGCCAAGCUUUUCAUCGGAUUUGGAUUCCCUUAUGAAGGUCCUGCCCCUUUGGAAGCGAUAGCCAAUGGGUGUGUUUUCCUGCAGUCUCGUUUCAACCCGCCGCACAGCUCCCUCAAUCAUGAAUUUUUCAGGGGGAAGCCUACAUCAAGAGAGGUGUCCUCCCAACACCCCUAUGCAGAGGACUUCAUAGGGAAGCCUUAUGUGUGGACAGUGGACUACAAUAACUCAGAGGAGUUUGAAGCCGCUGUCAAAACCAUCAUGAGGACCAAGGUGGACCCUUACGUACCCUAUGAAUACACCUGCGAGGGGAUGCUGGAGCGGAUUCACGCCUAUAUUCAGCACCAGGAUUUCUGUGCUGGAGCUUCUCCUCCUCUGCCAGCGAAGCCCAAUGGCCAUGCUAUGCCAAGCUCUCCGAGUCCAUUCACCCUGUCACCGAACGCCACUCACCUUGUGUGGUCGUACAAUGCCAGCAGCGUCCCCCAUGUCUGGCCUCCUGUGAGCUCCAUGCAGGUGUGGGUGUCUGAGGCUGGGCGAGCCUGCACUGAGACCUGUCAGGAGCACGGGCUGGUCUGUGAGCCGAUAUUCUUCGAGUUUCUCAACAAGAAGGACGUGUUUCUCCAGCUUCGCAUUGCCUGUGACAGCAUGGAGUCUGAGAUGAGCCACCUCUACCCGGCGCUGGCUGAAAAUGUGCAGGAGUGCUACCUCCAGAAGGAACCGCUGCUGUACAGCUGCGCAGGCUACAGCACCAAGUACCGGCGCCUCUGCCCAUGUCGCGAUUACCAGAAAGGACAAGUGGCUCUGUGCAGGGACUGCUUGUGAUUCCACCCCCUGCUCCCAGAGUCCGGAGAGUGUGUGUUGUGACAUGCCACACGCAACAAGUAGCUUUUUCUCAAAGCUUCUGCAAUACCCAAGAAGGACAGGACAGCUCCCUGUUCUUGGAAACUCAUGUCGAGACUUUGGAUGUCAGACUCUGUCGGUUGUUUUGUCUGCCAGUCAAAUGUCCGUGACUGACCACCUGCUCAUGUUGGAUUUUUGUUUCUCAAGACACAUCUCCUUCCAAGCCCAAGCCCACCUGAACUUCAGAGGAGUCCAGUGCCACUUCAGUAGGACAAGGCGCCAGCAGCCUCCAACGGCCCCACCUGGCUGGAAGGAGGAAGAUCAGCACAAACCAAAUCAAUGAAGGAAAGAUGACACACCAAGCGACAGGUGGGAUUCUGAGAUCUUGUCACUUAUUGUGGACGAAAAGAAUCAAUAUAUGUUCUAGGGCCACAGGCUCCCAACAGCGCUUUUUUAACCACAUCAAAUCAGACCAUGACAAGAAAAUGGAGAGUGGCAAUGGAGUGGGAAACCAGGGGAAAGCCAAGGGCUGCUGCACUGAGUACUUACUCGCAUUCUCAAUGCGAAGGGAAGCAUCAGUAGGAUCAGCCAAGGGGAGGAAUUACUGCUGGACUCAGGAUGCUGAGUUGUGCAAAGAAACAAAAAUCUGGAGGACUUUGAAUGCUUCCUCUGGUCACUGAGCCACAAGGUCCUUAAGGCCCACAUGGGCAAUUCCAGAGCAAUGCCUGUUCCGUGUGCAAAACCUUUGCCCCUUGUGUGCACAAAUUGCUUGUCUGCAUGCACAAUUGUAACCCAUGCUAGUGCAGUGUGAGACUUUGUCCCUGCCUGAUGCAGGUCUGUAUAAGAGGAUAAAUGUCUAUUACUGUGGCUGCCUUACGGCAUGACUCCUUUGGCUCAAGUGGGAGCAGUUCAUGCUUUUAACGCUGACGGGCUCUUCUUCAAAUCCAAGUGGAGUAGGAGUCAUGCAAUUGUCUGAUUUCUGAGGAGAUUGGGAGGGUGCCUAUGGGUUUCUCUAUUGCAUGAGGUUUUGGAAAGCUGCCCCAGGUGUUACUAUUGGGUGCAGGCAGCCACAAUUUGCUAAAUGAGACAGCUGCUGGAUACAUCACAUCCUCACUAGGACAAUCAAACUGUGCUUCUAGCCCCUCUGACCUCUGCGCUUUCCCAGCAGCACCAUGUUUCAGUGCACUGCCCUCUUUUCUGAGAGCCUUCAAUCUCUGCUGUGCCAGCCUCUGGCAGCAUUACCAUCCCACUGGCCAUUGCCAGCCCUUCUGAUCUCCCAAGGGUAUAAAUGUUACCUGACACCACUGAUGGGCAUUAACUCCUUCUGAAAACAAUAUACAGAGGGCUUCUGAUUUGGGGCUUUAUUAAUUUAAAUUUGGGGAGGGUAUUUUAGCGAUUUUUGAAUUCUAUAUCCAUGUCCAAAAAUCAGGGCUUUUUGGGGCUUUCUCUGUCAUAUGGAAGAGAUUUUUGGGGGGUACUUCCCAAAGUUCUUCUCUAAAUAGGGUCCACUUUAAUUUGUAUGAUAUGUAUACCAAUGGCUUACGCAUAGUUUAAGCUUAGCAUGCUUGUAAUUGAACUCCUGAUCUGGGGUUUAGUGUAUUUGUUCCCUAGAGCACGUUAACGCAGUACUGCAUCAAACAGCACUACAUGAAAGCGCAUCAGGGAACCUUUAGUGUGCACAAGCAGGGUCUGCAUGGACCAAUCCAGUUACAAAUCCAGAGUCCACAUUAUUGCUUCCGGUAGACAAUGUCUUUGAUGCAAGUUGGAGAGCAGGAGCAUCCCUUAUAGAAACAAACGUCACUGGGAAAGGGGUGACAUCAGCAUGAAUUGAGUAACCAUUUGUGUUUUUCUGGCAUUUAUUGGAUGAAUCAAUUUUAUUUUUUUUAUCGGCGGUGUUCUACUGGUGUCUAUCAGUUAAAACCUAAAAUCAGAAGCCGUAAAUAUACCACACACAACAGGCAAACCGAGCAGCAUCACCAGCUCCCUGCUCAGAGAGGUGUUUUGAAAUGGUGCCACAUGGGGGUAGUGUAGAGAUUCACACACAUUGUGUAUCCCGCUUCUCCCUUGGUAAUGUACAGUUCUCUGCUUUGUCCUUGCCUCUCUCUGUCUCUUGUUUUAUAUGAAAAUAAAUAUGACCGGCCUAUGAAAGGGAAGGCUCGUUCUUUGUCUCUCUCUGGAUGGACUGGGAACUGUUCUGAGUCUGGGAUCCUACAGAGGGUGGGAGCAUUUCUCAGCUAUUGUGAU
RNA transcript from Gopherus flavomarginatus (Mexican gopher tortoise), 5330 nucleotides. It is a transcript of the gene named alpha-1,6-mannosylglycoprotein 6-beta-N-acetylglucosaminyltransferase B, with no coding region annotated. The record is from RefSeq and is a predicted model, not a curated record. NCBI's taxonomy places the organism in Eukaryota, Metazoa, Chordata, Testudines, Testudinidae. The transcript is spliced from 18 exons.